Sapajus apella (tufted capuchin) is the source of this 186-nucleotide long non-coding RNA. RefSeq lists it as uncharacterized. The transcript is spliced from 3 exons. Lineage: Eukaryota; Metazoa; Chordata; Mammalia; Primates; Cebidae. The record is from RefSeq and is a predicted model, not a curated record.
CAGCUGCCAUGAUGAACAACAGCUCAAGAGGCUCUUCCCCUACCAGGAUGAUGGAUGAAGACAAGUAAACUGUUCUCCAAGAGCCUGAAGUCCCCUCAGUUCCCAGCAUUACAUCUUCAGCUGAGCAUCCAAUAGCAGUUAAUGUGACUCCAAAAGGGCCCCCUCCUUUCCCAGGAGUCCCUCUUA